Canis lupus familiaris (dog) is the source of this 448-nucleotide long non-coding RNA. RefSeq lists it as uncharacterized. The record is from RefSeq and is a predicted model, not a curated record. Lineage: Eukaryota; Metazoa; Chordata; Mammalia; Carnivora; Canidae. The transcript is spliced from 3 exons.
UGCUAGCCCCCCACCUCGCCAUCCUUCUCCUCCUAAAGCAGGUAUCAUAACUAAUUAAGGAGAGACACCGAGACCCAGGCAGAGGGAGAACCAGGCUCCAUGCAGGGAGCCGGAUGCGGGACUCGAUCCCGGGUCUCCAGGAUCAGGCCCUGGGCUGAAGGCGGCGCUAAACUGCUGAGCCCCCCCGCCCCGGGCUGCCCUCGUAUGAGUAUUAAAUGAGUGGGAUAGUGAAUAUUACUCCCUGCUAACAUGAUGAGGAAAGGAAGUGCAGAGAGGGAAAUUUGCCCAAGAUCAUGAAGCUGGGGGAAGGGCAGAGGGAAAGGGAGAGAAAGAGUUCCAAGCAGACUCCACACUGAGCGGAGAGCCCCACACGGAGCUCUACUCCAUGACCUGAGCCCCCAUCAAGAGGCAGAUGCUUAACCAACUGUGUCACCCAGGUGCCCCUUCU